CCUACGGGAGGCAGCAGUGGGGAAUAUUGGACAAUGGGCGCAAGCCUGAUCCAGCAAUACCGCGUGUGUGAAGAAGGCCUGAGGGUUGUAAAGCACUUUCAAUUGGGAGGAAAAAGCAAGGGUUAAUAUCCCUUGCCUUGACAUUACCUUUAGAAGAAGCACCGGCUAACUCCGUGCCAGCAGCCGCGGUAAUACGGAGGGUGCGAGCGUUAAUCGGAAUUACUGGGCGUAAAGCGUACGUAGGCGGUUAGUUAAGUUAGAUGUGAAAGCCCCGGGCUUAACCUGGGAACUGCAUUUAAAACUGGCUAACUAGAGUUGAGUAGAGGGGAGUGGAAUUUCAGGUGUAGCGGUGAAAUGCGUAGAGAUCUGAAGGAACACC
Molecule: ribosomal RNA, 379 nt
Filed under: uncultured bacterium
Lineage: Bacteria
Description: bacterial SSU rRNA
Rfam family: Bacterial small subunit ribosomal RNA
Source: RNAcentral